Molecule: non-coding RNA, 83 nt
Filed under: unidentified
Description: Gallionellales bacterium c-di-GMP sequence
Rfam family: c-di-GMP-I riboswitch aptamer
About the family: GEMM was predicted in a large-scale screen for bacterial structured RNA regulatory elements. Genes associated with GEMM are involved in a diverse array of functions, including chemotaxis regulation, signal transduction, secretion and chitin.
Source: RNAcentral
UGCUGCCUUGGGCAAACUUAUCGAAAGGUAAGGACGCAAUGCCACGGGGCUAAUGGAUUUCCGAUGCUAGCCGGGCUGCCGGU